CACGUAGGAGGCGAGCGUUAUCCGGAUUCACUGGGCGUAAAGCGCGUGCAGGCGGUUUGGUAAGUUAGGCGUGAAAGCUCCCGGCUCAACUGGGAGAGGUCGUCUAAUACUACCAGACUAGAGAGCAGAAGAGGAAGAUGGAAUUCCGGGUGUAGUGGUGAAAUGCGUAGAUAUCCGGAGGAACACCAGUGGCGAAGGCGAUCUUCUGGUCUGUUUCUGACGCUCAGACGCGACAGCUAGGGUAGUAAACGGG
This 253-nucleotide ribosomal RNA is filed under the name uncultured bacterium. Its description in RNAcentral is "partial 16S ribosomal RNA". It matches the Rfam family "Bacterial small subunit ribosomal RNA", at positions 524 to 776 of the family's 1533-position model. The record is from RNAcentral.